This is a long non-coding RNA of Astatotilapia calliptera (eastern happy), 2741 nucleotides long. The record is from Ensembl. NCBI's taxonomy places the organism in Eukaryota, Metazoa, Chordata, Actinopteri, Cichliformes, Cichlidae.
GUUUUUUUUUUUUGUUUUUUUUUAAUCUCAUUCAAUAUUUUUAACUCAAAAUUCAGCAAUUAAUUCAUUUCAGUGCAUACAUUCAGAUUCAAGCAUUCACACUGCAGUUUCUUCAGAAAAUGCACUUUCUAGUUAGUUUUAGUUUUAGCUGUGGGUGGCGCUGUAUGUUGCCACCACUUCCAGCCACCUGAAUCUGCUGGGUUGGUUGCUUGAGAAGGGGACACAUCCUGGGAAACCAGUGGGACUUCGUCCCUACUGACUGUGGUGCCAAUCAACAGCACACCAAGACACCGGAAAGUGUCUCAUCCAAGCAGCUGCAGAGAGCAGCCAAACCCUCAGCCUUGAACUCUUUAUCACCAAAAGCAUUUUGAGCUUGGCUUCUCGGGACCCUGGAGGCUGUAAACCUUUGAAAAUUGCAGUUCAGCAUGGUCACAAGGACUGUGCGCUCUUUGCAGCUGACAAGCUGGGCUCACUUGUAUUUCUUAGAAAUAUGUGCCUUCCCAUAGCAUCCAAACACUUGCUGCAGUUGGGGCAAAACAAAGCAGCCUGCAAUCGAUCCCAGCACACUGCUGCUGCCUGCAGAGCCAUGCUAGGGAGUAAAUUAUUGGUAGAUGGCUUCAACCACCCAGGGAGCCUAAGACCAAACUAAGAACUGAAACAGAGACUUUACCCCCAGGCUUAGUGAGGCUGCCACCCUGUGUCUCUGCCUUUUAUUAAAAAGAAGGACAGAAAGAUUGAAGUCACGGAUAUAAAGUUAUCCUGUAGAGCUGAAAAUGUGUUUGUGAAUGCAACAUAUUAUGAGACAAAAGUCCAAGUCAGGACUGGCCUUGAAUCAGGGAUGACACAACUCAACAUGUCACCAUUGCACAGUUUUGUAACACACUUACAGUAACGGUUAAAGACAGUAGUUGCCAUUUUUUUUAAAAGGAAGCAGCUGUAAAAUAGUUUUAGGCAACAAGGCUAUGUAACUGAAGGUGCUGUAUAUAACUGCAGUUGGACAACCCAUCAGUACUUUACUUUAAGGCUGGAGACUGCAUUGAUAUGGCUGUCACAGGGUUUCUAUUAAGAGCAAAUUUAGCAUAUCGCUGUUCACAUAAAUCAACUAAGAAAAACAACUACUGGGUGUCUUCUGAGUCACAAUGAAAUUUAAGAAUGUAGUCUGUUUGAUUUCAUUUCUUUUAAUGAAAGUGAAACACACUCAAAGACAAAAAAAACCACACUUUUUGAUCAAGGAUACAGAAUUGAAAUCAUAUUUUCAAAGGUUAUAGCUAAAGUGUAGUUCUGGUCAUUAAAAAAAAGAGGAUUUUAAAUGGGAAUAUAAAAACACCUUGAUUUUGGGGGGAAAAAGUAAAUGUUUUGUAAAACUGAGCAGCUGAAGAUGGGUGCUUCACAAACCACCACAGGCUCAGCUGCAGGAGCUCCGUGUUGUCAUUGAUGAGCUGAGUACCAGUUGAUACACUUACCCACAAAAGAGGGGCACACAGGUAGAGUGCAAAUACGUAGAUCAUUCUGCUAAAGUGGUGUGACAUUUAUACCUCUGGCUGCAUGUCUCUUGUGAAACACGCACUGUUAGAAUUAAAAAGUAUCCACUAUGAGGUCAUUCAAUGGAAAUGUCUGUUUUUCUGUCCCUUAAAGAAAUAUUACACUUAAAAAAAUGGUAAAUGGUAAAUGGCCUGUAUUUAUAUAGCGCUUUACUAGUCCCUAAGGACCCCAAAGCGCUUUACAUAUCCAGUCAUCCACCCAUUCACACACACAUUCACAAAUGCUUCAAAGUUACAAAUUAUUUAUUUCCUAAAAUGAAACAAUGUUAUUUGAACAAGUACACCUUCCAUCACUUUGACAGUAUUGGUUAUUAAAUUAGUUAUACAUCAAUUCAAGCACAAUAUGAGUGCUUGUGGCCACAGCUUUGCUUUUAUGUUAAAAAUAUUUUUUUUACCAUUUAAAAUGCAAUAUUUUUUUUAAAUAAAUAUGACUGACACCAUGUGGUUUGAUGCCCUGUAGCAGCCAUUUUGUAAAAGGCAUUUUUCAUGAAAAUUGUCACUGGCAUGUUCCCUUACAUAACACUAGAGCCCUUACUUAAUAACUGGAUCUUGGUAACACCAGUGACUUUAUUUGACUGUGCAAAUAAACUUGAUCAAAAGCUGUUCAUGCAGUUCUUUCAAGCAUCAAUGGUUCUUAAAGUACUGUAUACCGCAGCUGUGUGCCAUAUGUGUCCCCAGAUGUGUGUCACUGGUGUUACUGUGUGUUUUCCCCCGGCACAUUAAACACAAUAAAUUGAUAAUUUUACAUCUAUCAAUUUUUUUUAGACUUCAGGGUUAAGAUCAAAAGGAGUCCAUCAUUACUCAUUUUUAACUCUUGUUCUAAUAAUUUCAUUGUUGUAGCAAAUAAAUGUCACACUUUUAACAAAGCUGAUUGAAAAUGGUAAUCUCAUCCGGAUUUGUUGCGUUCCUCUUCUUCUGUGACUAAAUGUGCUGAGAGAUUGAAGAAGUAAUAUUUCCUGAGGUUUUAAAUGCCUUUCAUCGUACUCCUGUUGAAGCAUGUAAAUUAUGUAGAAAGUGUUGUUGGUGAAAGUGAAGUGUCAUUUUUUCUUAUUUAACUGUUUUCAAGACACUUUUGUUGCUUUUUGCUUUCUUUAUUUCUUUCUCUUUUUUAAAUAAAGCAAGCAAUUGAUCAGAGUUGCCGAAGGAGUAAGGUAAAUGUACAAAAAUUAUUUAAAAAAUCAUUAAAUCAUUAAAAUCAUU